AUUUGAUAGGAAGCUCAGUAGUAUAAAUAUAAUAUCAUUUUAGAAUUAAAAUCUUCUCCGCAAAAAAUGGACUUAGCCAGUCCAGAUGAUACAGCCCAGAAAGGAAUACUCGUGUGUCGCGGUAUAACAAGUCUUCUUCUGACUAUUGUUGCAUGGAUUCUGACGUUAUCUGCUAUAAUUGGAAUAUCGGUUGAUUAUGGGAACAUUUUGAAUAGCGACCAAGGAUGUGGACUACAAUCUGCCUUCGGAUUAUUUGUUUGUGCGGAUAGUUGUAUGCUUUUCCUGAUUAUUUGGGAUGGAGUAAACCUAGUGAUUGUAUACUAUUCGCAAGGUUGCUGUCAUUGUGAAUGCUAUCACAUGAAUUUCAUCUUUCAGAUAGCUUCGUUUGGAAUGCUCCUAGUUGGAACCAUCAUUUACGGCUCUAAAGACCCUGAUAAAAUAGGUUGGGCCUUUUGGUUCUGUUUAACGUCGGCUCUCCUCUGUCUUAUAGUUGGAAUAAUGUGGAAAGUGACUCAACA
This is a long non-coding RNA of Mytilus californianus (California mussel), 518 nucleotides long. RefSeq lists it as uncharacterized. The record is from RefSeq and is a predicted model, not a curated record. NCBI's taxonomy places the organism in Eukaryota, Metazoa, Mollusca, Bivalvia, Mytilida, Mytilidae. The transcript has 3 exons.